UUCCGGUCGGAAGUACAGCAUGAGUUGUUGCGUUCCACGUGAAUUGAUGAUAUUUACAUUUUCUUCAGCUCUUUCACUUCAUCAGAAGUAGUUGUGUGAUACACAAAAGUGCUAUUGUUGUGUGGAUAUAUUCCAAUUAGUGUUUUAAUACCUCUCCCCGAUUCAUUGUAGUUCCAUUAGUGAGCUAGCAAACUAGCCACCGGGUUAGCAUUAACUGUCGUUGUUGACAGUCUGUCAAUACCUCUGUUUUUGCUAAUAGUGAUGCUACAAGUUGUGUAUUUGCUGUGACAACAUCGUAAACUUUGCCAUUGCGUGAACUGUCUUCACCAUGGUACACACCAGCCUGGAUAAGAUCACUUCACUACAGAAAAAUCCUGCUAACAUUAGGAACCUUUGCAUCCUGGCACAUGUUGACCACGGCAAAACCACUCUGGCGGAUUGCUUAGUGGCCAGCAAUGGUAUUAUAUCCAGUAGGCUGGCAGGGAAGCUCAGGUAUUUGGACAGCAGAGAGGAUGAGCAGAUCAGAGGAAUUACAAUGAAGUCUAGCGCCAUCUCUUUGCACUAUAGAGAAGGUGAUGAAGAUUACUUGCUGAAUUUGAUAGACUCUCCCGGUCACGUUGACUUCUCGUCUGAGGUCUCCACUGCUGUGCGUCUGUGUGAUGGUGCCAUUGUUGUUGUUGAUGCUGUGGAGGGAGUAUGUCCACAGACCCAGGUUGUCCUGCGACAAGCAUGGUUGGAGAACAUCAGGCCGGUUCUGGUCAUUAAUAAAAUUGACCGACUUAUCUUGGAGUUGAAGCUCACCCCUCAGGAAGCUUAUGGCCACUUACAGAAGAUCCUGGAACAGGUGAAUGCAGUGACAGGAAGCUUGUUCACAUCCAAAGUGUUGGAGGAGCAAGCAGAGAAAACCAAAGAAGAGGAAGGGAGUGAGACCCAGACGGAAGAUCAAGUGUAUGACUGGAGUGCAGGGCUCGAGGAAGCCGAUGACUCUCAUCUCUACUUCUCACCUGACCAAGGGAACGUAGUCUUUGCCAGUGCCAUCGAUGGAUGGGGCUUGAGCAUCCAACACUUUGCCCACAUCUACAGCCAGAAGAUGGGCAUUAAUGCAGGUGUGCUUCUCAAAACCCUCUGGGGAGAUUUCUACCUCAAUGCAAAAGCUAAGAAGAUCAUGAAGGGAGCUCAGGCCAAAGGCAAGAAGCCUGUCUUUGUGCAGCUCGUACUGGAUAACAUUUGGAGUUUAUACGAUGCAGUCGUUACCCGGAGAGACAAGGAGAAAGUUGAGAAGGUGGUGGCAUCACUCGGGGUGAAGGUGACAGCCAGGGAUUCUCGUCACUCCGACCCCAAAGUUCUUCUGUCUGCGAUAUGCAGCCAGUGGUUACCCGUGUCUCACGCUGUCCUCUCCAUGGUAUGUCGCAAGCUUCCCAGUCCGUUGGACAUAGCAGCAGAGAGGGUGGAGAAGCUGAUGAGUGUAGGAGUGCGGAGGUUUGAUACAUUGCCGGAGAGGACACAGGAAUUAAAAAACGCAUUUCUCCAAUGCUCCAGCAAUGAAAACGCUCCAGUCAUAGUUUUUGUAUCCAAGAUGUUUGCCGUGGACACAACGGCCUUGCCUCAGAACAGACAAAAGCCACUGACUCAGGAAGAGAUUGCUCAGCGCAGAGAAGUGGCAAGAAAAAGACACGCUGAGAGGAUGGCAGCAUCAGGACCACAAGACCAACAAGACAAGUCACUCCAGGGUCGGCCAGAAGAACCCACCAAGGAUGAAACGCAAACUGGAGUUCUGGAAGAGUCCACACCGGGCGAGGCAGAGGAGAAAAGGGAGACCUUCAUCGCAUUUGCCAGGGUGUACAGCGGGGUGGUAAAGAAAGGACAAAGAAUAUUCAUACUUGGACCAAAAUAUGAUCCUGCACAGGGUCUGACCAUGCUGCCAGAAGGAUGCAGUGCUUCUGAUGGCUUGCCUGAGGUUCCUCAUCUGUCCUGUUGCUCCAUUGAAAACGUCUACCUGCUGAUGGGCAGAGAACUGGAAGAGCAAGAGGAGGUGCCUUCCGGCAAUGUGCUGGGCAUUAAAGGUUUAGAGGAGUUCGUUUUGAAGUCAGCGACCCUUUCCACCUCGCCAGCUUGUCCGCCCUUCACCCCACUAAACUUUGAAGCCUCGCCAAUUGUACGAGUAGCGAUAGAACCAAAACACCCAAGUGAAAUGCCAAAGCUGGUGCGUGGGAUGCGGUUGUUGAACCAGGCAGACCCCUGUGCUGAAGUGCUAAUUCAGGAGACGGGGGAACAUGUUUUGGUUACGGCGGGAGAGGUUCAUCUCCAACGCUGCCUUGAUGACCUCAAGGACCGGUUUGCUAAAAUCGAGAUCAGCGCAUCAAAGCCCAUUAUUCCAUUCCGAGAAACAGUGGUGCGCCCUCCCAAAGUGGACAUGGUGAAUGAAGAUCUUGGCAAGCAGCAAAAAGUUGCCAUCAUUCACCAGCAGGUAAAGGAGGAAGGGUCUCAUGGCUUUUCUUCAGAGACACUUCAUGUGGAUACCAGUGGUUUGGUCACGCUCAUCACUCCCAACAAACUGGCCACUGUCAGCGUCCGGGCAAUCCCCUUGCCUCCUGAGGUCAGUCGUCUUUUGGAGGAUAGCUCAGCGCUGAUUCGGACUCUGGAACAAGUCAAUAUGUCCUUGAAGGAGGGGAGGAAUGUAGAUAUCAGCGUCAGGACCUUGGAAGCCAUCGCUGAUCUCAAGGCCCAGCUGGGUAGCAUGCUGCAAGGGAGGAAGUGGAGGAAUGCUGUGGACUAUAUCUGGGCCUUUGGACCUCGCAGGUGUGGCCCAAACAUUCUACUGAACAAUGUGGAGGGCUACCAGCGACCUUCUCUGUGGCAGUGUCUGUGCAGGGAGGAUAAAUCGGGCGAAGUGGAGGCUCAGGCACGGCUCAUAAGGGAGUUGGACAACAGCAUCGUGAGCGGCUUUCAGCUCGCAACGCUGUCAGGGCCGAUGUGUGAAGAGCCCCUGAUGGGGGUCUGCUUCUCCAUUGAGAGAUGGGAUAUCCAGUCUUCAAACUUCCCAAAUCAGCACAAUAGUGCAGAAGAAAUUGCUACAUCCGGAGAAGCUUUGGGAGCUAGCAAAGCACCGGAGAACACUGAUGCAUCAGCGCAGAGUCAAGGCAAGUGCCGGCAAGAGGCUUCCUCUGCUGACCGCUACGGGCCGGUGUCAGGUCAGCUGAUUGCUGCCAUGAAGGAGGCAUGCCGCCAUGCUUUCCAGGCACAACCCCAGAGACUUAUGGCCGCCAUGUAUACAUGUGAAAUCAUGGCCACUGCUGACGUUCUGGGCCGAGUAUACGGUGUGCUCGGAAAACGAGAGGGACGCGUCCUCCAUGAAGAAAUGAAGGAAGGGACGGACAUGUUCAUCAUCAAGGCUGUUCUUCCUGUUGCUGAGAGUUUUGGAUUUGCAGACGAAAUCCGCAAGAGGACCAGUGGAUUGGCCAGUCCGCAACUGGUCUUCAGCCAUUGGGAGGUGAUCAGCAGUGAUCCUUACUGGGUUCCGACCACCGAGGAAGAAUACUUGCACUUUGGAGAGAAGGCCGACUCCACCAACCAGGCGCUGAAAUACAUGAACGCUGUCCGCCGCCGAAAGGGCCUGUUUGUGGAGGAAAAGAUAGUUGAACAUGCAGAAAAACAACGAACCCUCAGCAAGAACAAAUAAACAUAUAAAAUGAUCUUUCGGACACACCGGAUCACUCUAUGUCCAUCCGGCAAGAACUCAAGAACUCAUCUCAAAUGCUGCAAUGCAACCAGAUCUUUUUAAUGAACGCUUAUUGGAGUCAUGUAUUUAAUAUCAAACAAUAAAUGAACAUUGGAUGGAGUCCCUCGUCAUUGAGUAUCACUGCACCAUCAAGAGAAUCCUCACCAGUGGUUACAUUUAGAAACUGCUCUGUCACCAACUGGAAGGCGGUACAGAAGGUGGUGAAAACCAUCCAGCAUAUGGACUGCUUGUUCAACUUCCCUCUGGGAGGUGCAACAUGAGCCUUCGGACUAAAACCACCAGUCAAAAUGGAUGGAAGAGGUGACAGAAGCAACAAUUUUGCAGAGGGCCCGCAGUUGAACCCCUAUCCAAGAUUAAUUAUCAAUGGAGACGCACCACCAGUCAAUCCGGUUGUGAAUGGAGUUUUGGAGCCCAUCGGCUUCCUGGUGGAUGUGGGAUUGGUGGACGGCUUCUUUGGUGGAAGGAGGCAGCUUUUGCAGCAGCUCACAAUCCAGCAAUCCAGCAGCACCCCUACCAACAAUAACGUUGUCACCAUGGAAGACAACACAGAAGUUCCAUCAGAGGACCUCACUGGAGGGUCCAGCAGGGGGUCGAGUGAAGAUGAUGAAGAUGACGAGGGAGACAACAACAAAAUUAGAUGGUGGGAUGAAUUCCUUGACAGUGAGUCCAGCUGUGACUCUGUGGCUGAUUUCGAUAGCACCGGCAGCAUCUAUGUGGACUGCAUGGAGAUCCAUCCAGUCCACGAUGCUUGCGUGAAGGUCGAGUGCAAACAUUUUGCGGAAAAGGAGUCGCUGCUUGGAGGAUACAAGACAAAGCCUUGUGAAGACGGUGAAGGGGAGCAUCGACUAUAA
This is a non-coding RNA of Doryrhamphus excisus (bluestripe pipefish), 4590 nucleotides long. NCBI's taxonomy places the organism in Eukaryota, Metazoa, Chordata, Actinopteri, Syngnathiformes, Syngnathidae. The record is from RefSeq and is a predicted model, not a curated record.